This 250-nucleotide ribosomal RNA is filed under the name uncultured prokaryote. Its description in RNAcentral is "partial 16S ribosomal RNA". It matches the Rfam family "Bacterial small subunit ribosomal RNA", at positions 524 to 774 of the family's 1533-position model. The record is from RNAcentral.
CACGUAGGGGGCAAGCGUUAUCCGGAUUUAUUGGGCGUAAAGCGCGCGCAGGCGGCCGAUCAAGCGGGACUUAUAAUCUUAGGGCUCAACCCCAAGUCGGGUCCCGAACUGGUUGGCUCGCGUCAGGUAGAGGCAGGCGGAAUUCCCGGUGUAGCGGUGGAAUGCGCAGAUAUCGGGAAGAACACCAACGGCGAAGGCAGCCUGCUGGGCCUUGACGGACGCUGAGGCGCGAAAGCUGGGGGAGCGAACA